CUUCAUAGCUGAAGAACGUUGAGAUUUGAGAAUAAGUUUUGUUUUCGAAGCGUAGAUCCAAGUGUUGUUACAUGCCCUUAAGUUCCAAGCCUGUCUCCUUUUCUCUACUAACAUAAAUAAGUUUUGUGUAUUUUCAGAAGCCCAUUUAGGGCUCAGCCAUUGCUACAUCUCUAUCUCGAUGUUGAACUUCAGGAGAUUGACUUCGGCUCCUCGUAGAAAUAGAUGGCCUGGGAGCUCGUUCUGGAGGCUCUAAAAACGCAAAGUCAACCUCCAGUUUUUCAUCUAACAAAGAGAGGUUUUUUUCGUCUACAGCUUUCUGGGCUUGCUCCAAUGUAGCAUAUUCUAUCAGUGCAUAUCCCUUUACAUAACCUGUACGUCGAUCUAAAUUGAGGUGCAAGUUUUUGACCGGUCCAAAAUCUGCAAAUAAAUCCUCUACUUGUUCUUCGGUAGCUUCUGGAUGAACUCCAGUGACUAUGAUGAUAUAACCUUCGACAGAUUUUGCUGGUCGC
Molecule: non-coding RNA, 509 nt
Organism: Schizosaccharomyces pombe (fission yeast)
Lineage: Eukaryota; Fungi; Ascomycota; Schizosaccharomycetes; Schizosaccharomycetales; Schizosaccharomycetaceae
Source: the annotation of a GenBank genome assembly